GGGGGAGAAUGGGCAUCCCACCCCAGCACUUUCUAGGAAGAAGGGCAACAUUUUGAAGGGCUGGAAGUAGAGAAAGAAGGUUGCGGGUAGAAGACUCCAUACUUUCUGUGACGCCUAUUCCUUAGCUUGUGAUGAAUGUUUUCUCAGUAUCCUAUGCUGAAAACAGGUAGAUACUAAUCCCUCCUUCAAGGGAGGGCUGUUGAGUAUUGAAUAAGAUAAAAACAUGGAAGCAAUCAGCACAAUGCUGGAAUCAAGCCUAUCUGUAAUCACAGGGCUAUUUGAAAAAGAGAAGAAAAGGUGUCUUGAAAUUAAACCAACAUGUUUCAAUUAUUUGCUCCUAAGAACAACAGAAGUUUCAACAUUCUGCCAACACAGUAACUCCUGGGAGAUUGGCACAGAAGAAGGCACAAGAAUAUUUAAGCAGCUUUGUCUGCCUUAGACCUUCCACCUAAAAGUACAGCAAGUGGAAUGGAAUGCUAAUAUGAGGAUCCAAAUUUUCAGGGAAGGAGGAGAGCUUUUAUAUAACCAAAGAUAUUUUUGGACCAUGAAUUCGGAAAUUCUCGGAGCCACCCAUCAAUGCCUGAGCUUCAGUGAGUCCAUAUCCCAUGUCACCUACGGCAAAGGAGAAUCUGAGACUUCUGAAGAGUUUCUUGCUUCUUUCCUGUGGGGCAGUGACUCCACUUCCCAGCAGUAAUGGAAUAUCCUGAAUUAGCUACA
RNAcentral lists this non-coding RNA (717 nucleotides) under Pongo abelii (Sumatran orangutan). Lineage: Eukaryota; Metazoa; Chordata; Mammalia; Primates; Hominidae. The record is from RNAcentral.